UACGUAGGGUGCAAGCGUUAAUCGGAAUUACUGGGCGUAAAGCGUGCGCAGGCGGUUUUGUAAGACAGAUGUGAAAUCCCCGGGCUCAACCUGGGAAUUGCAUUUGUGACUGUACGGCUAGAGUGUGUCAGAGGGGGGUAGAAUUCCACGUGUAGCAGUGAAAUGCGUAGAGAUGUGGAGGAAUACCGAUGGCGAAGGCAGCCCCCUGGGAUAACACUGACGCUCAUGCACGAAAGCGUGGGGAGCAAACAGG
RNAcentral lists this ribosomal RNA (253 nucleotides) under uncultured bacterium. RNAcentral describes it as "partial 16S ribosomal RNA". It matches the Rfam family "Bacterial small subunit ribosomal RNA", at positions 524 to 776 of the family's 1533-position model. The record is from RNAcentral.